UCAAAUCAAUUCAUUAAACAUUUUAAUAUUCAGUUUUGUUAUAAAUAAUUGAACAUACAGUUGAAUUUAAAGUUCAUUAAGGGGAAGGGGAAUCCAAAUUCAUUGACAUAUUUGAACUUUUUUUUUUAACAAGUAACACAA
Molecule: long non-coding RNA, 141 nt
Organism: Thalassophryne amazonica
Lineage: Eukaryota; Metazoa; Chordata; Actinopteri; Batrachoidiformes; Batrachoididae
Exons: 3
Source: RefSeq, a predicted model, not a curated record